Long non-coding RNA from Passer domesticus (house sparrow), 1360 nucleotides. RefSeq lists it as uncharacterized. Lineage: Eukaryota; Metazoa; Chordata; Aves; Passeriformes; Passeridae. The record is from RefSeq and is a predicted model, not a curated record. The transcript is spliced from 6 exons.
GGAGGGCCGGUGCCUUGCCUGCUGGCUUUCCGGAGCGUCCGGAAGGGAAGGGUUGUUUGGGGUUUUUUUAUUGUAGGUGCAAGGCGAAAGGGGAAAGCUGCGCAGCCUAAAAAAAGCAUCACGGCUUCCUCAGUUCCCAGUGGGACCGGUAACGGCAGCGGCAGUCCCUGGGGGCGGCGGGGAGGGGCUCCAGCCCCUUCCCAGGUGGUUCUGCGGGGGAAGCGGUUCCUCCCUCUGGAGGGCUGUGGCACUUCAGAGUUUUCAGAUGUCUAGAAAUUUUCCAAUGGAGCCACAUGUCCACAUAUGGCAAAUUUAAGCCAAGUGAGAAGAGUUUUAGUUACUGUUGUCAUAUGUUGGGCAUGAUCCAGAUAAAACAAUCCAUGGAUGACAGCUUAAAAUGCAACAGACAUUAGCAGCAUUAUCUCAGCUUUUGAGAAAUACACUGCAAGCCAAAAUCAACCAUCACAAGACAUGCCCCUACCUGCAUGUAAAGCUGCCCUGACUUUCCAUCAGGGCACAGAUCUGCAAGCUCAGAUCCAUCCUGACAGCCUGUACAUCAUAAAUGAUGUUUUAGCCCAGACUCCUCCAGUAACUAUUCACAAAUUAUUUUUUUCAUGAAGAAAGGAGAAAAAUCUUUUGUGGAACACUUCUUUCUGCAGUACAGGCAGGAAUAAAAAAGGAAAAGUCAAUUUUGAUGAACUCUGGCUAAGUGGUGUUUGCCCUGUUUCCUUCAGAGACAACAUGGGACACAUAUGACUUCUAUGAGCAAGGCACUAGGGUUUUUAUGAAGGCCCACUCCUCUCCUAGAAGUUGCAAGGUGUAACUAAGGAUAGGUUUGUGUAGGCUGCAAUUGCAGUGACAUACCUACAAUUGCUAAAGCAGCUGAUACUGCUAAUGAAAACUUAACCAUACAAUUACAGAAUACACUGAGUUGGAAGGGACCCACCCAGGAUCAUUAAGUCCAACUCUUGGGCCUGCACAGAACACCUCAAGAGUCACACCAUGUGCCUGAGAGCAUUGUCUGCACAUGACUGCACCAAGCUUCUUGAGCUUGGUGCUGUGACCACUUCCCUGGGGAGCCUGUUCCAGUGUUCAGCUGCCAUCUGGGUGAAAAAUCUUUUCCUGAGAUCCAACCUAAAACUCUUCUGACUCAGAUUCAUGCUGUUCCCUUGAAUCCUGAUGAGAGUGAAGAGACCAGUACCUGCCCCUCUACUUCUCCUCGUGAAGAUGUUGAAAAGCACAAUGAGAUAAUUUUAGAAUUCUACAGUAAGCAUUCAAAGAAAGCAGAAAGAUCAGACUGUUUACAAGCAUAUUACACUAUUCCACUUCAACAGCUGAGGUACAUGGGGGAUAACUGAUG